GACAGAGGAUGCAAGCGUUAUCCGGAAUGAUUGGGCGUAAAGCGUCUGUAGGUGGCUUUUCAAGUCCGCCGUCAAAUCCCAGGGCUCAACCCUGGACAGGCGGUGGAAACUACCAAGCUGGAGUACGGUAGGGGCAGAGGGAAUUUCCGGUGGAGCGGUGAAAUGCUUAGAUAUGACAUAGAACACCAAUUGCGAAGGCAGCUCGUUACACGAAUAUUGACUCUGAGGCACGAAAGCGUGGGGAUCAAACAGG
RNAcentral lists this ribosomal RNA (253 nucleotides) under uncultured bacterium. Its description in RNAcentral is "partial 16S ribosomal RNA". It matches the Rfam family "Bacterial small subunit ribosomal RNA", at positions 524 to 776 of the family's 1533-position model. The record is from RNAcentral.